UACGAAGGGUGCAAACGUUGCUCGGAAUUACUGGGCGUAAAGGGCGCGUAGGUGGCCUGCUAAGUCGAACGUGAAAUCCCCGGGCUCAACCCGGGAACUGCGUCCGAUACUGGCAGGCUUGAAUUCGGGAGAGGGAUGCGGAAUUCCAGGUGUAGCGGUGAAAUGCGUAGAUAUCUGGAGGAACACCGGUGGCGAAGGCGGCAUCCUGGACCGAGAUUGACGCUGAGGCGCGAAAGCCAGGGGAGCAAACGGG
Molecule: ribosomal RNA, 253 nt
Filed under: uncultured bacterium
Lineage: Bacteria
Description: partial 16S ribosomal RNA
Rfam family: Bacterial small subunit ribosomal RNA
Source: RNAcentral